CACGUUAUAUACAGUCGAGCGGCACACGGGGUACUUGCUCCCUGGUGGCGAGCGGCGGACGGGUGAGUAAUGCAUAGGAAUCUGCCCGGUAGUGGGGGAUAACGUGGGGAAACCCACGCUAAUACCGCAUACGUCCUACGGGAGAAAGCGGAGGCUCUUCGGACUUCGCGCUAUCGGAUGAGCCUAUGUCGGAUUAGCUAGUUGGUAAGGUAACGGCUUACCAAGGCGACGAUCCGUAGCUGGUCUGAGAGGAUGAUCAGCCACACUGGGACUGAGACACGGCCCAGACUCCUACGGGAGGCAGCAGUGGGGAAUAUUGGACAAUGGGCGAAAGCCUGAUCCAGCCAUGCCGCGUGUGUGAAGAAGGCUUUCGGGUUGUAAAGCACUUUCAGCGAGGAAGAAAGCCUUUGGGUUAAUACCCCAGAGGAAGGACAUCACUCGCAGAAGAAGCACCGGCUAACUCCGUGCCAGCAGCCGCGGUAAUACGGAGGGUGCGAGCGUUAAUCGGAAUUACUGGGCGUAAAGCGCGCGUAGGUGGCUUGGCACGCCGGUUGUGAAAGCCCCGGGCUCAACCUGGGAACGGCAUCCGGAACGGCCAGGCUAGAGUGCAGGAGAGGAAGGUAGAAUUCCCGGUGUAGCGGUGAAAUGCGUAGAGAUCGGGAGGAAUACCAGUGGCGAAGGCGGCCUUCUGGCCUGACACUGACACUGAGGUGCGAAAGCGUGGGUAGCAAACAGGAUUAGAUACCCUGGUAGUCCACGCCGUAAACGAUGUCG
RNAcentral lists this ribosomal RNA (774 nucleotides) under Halomonas sp. Pr10. RNAcentral's name for it is "bacterial SSU rRNA". It matches the Rfam family "Bacterial small subunit ribosomal RNA", at positions 47 to 814 of the family's 1533-position model. The record is from RNAcentral. Lineage: Bacteria; Pseudomonadati; Pseudomonadota; Gammaproteobacteria; Oceanospirillales; Halomonadaceae.